Molecule: ribosomal RNA, 406 nt
Filed under: uncultured bacterium
Lineage: Bacteria
Description: bacterial SSU rRNA
Rfam family: Bacterial small subunit ribosomal RNA
Source: RNAcentral
GACGAACGCUGGCGGCGCGCUUAACACAUGCAAGUCGAGCGAGAACCCAGGCCUUCGGGCCUGGGGAAAGCGGCGAACGGGUGAGUAACACGUGGGCAACCCACCCUUGGUACCGGGAUAGCCCGAGGAAACUCGGAUUAAUACCGGAUGGCCCAACAGCUCUUCGGGGCGGUUGGAAAAGGUAGCUUCGGCCUCCGACCAAGGACGGGCCCGCGGUGGAUUAGCUUGUUGGUGGGGUAAUGGCCUACCAAGGCGACGAUCCANAGCUGGUCUGAGAGGACGAUCAGCCACACUGGGACUGAGACACGGCCCAGACUCCUACGGGAGGCAGCAGUGGGGAAUCUUGCGCAAUGGGCGAAAGCCUGACGCAGCGACGCCGCGUGGGGGAAGAAGGCUUUCGGGUUGU